This is a long non-coding RNA of Glycine soja, 1718 nucleotides long. RefSeq lists it as uncharacterized. NCBI's taxonomy places the organism in Eukaryota, Viridiplantae, Streptophyta, Magnoliopsida, Fabales, Fabaceae. The record is from RefSeq and is a predicted model, not a curated record. The transcript has 5 exons.
GUAGACCACGAUGGCAUUUUUGUAAUUCGAAGACUUUAUUCUAAGACGAGUGUCAUUAGAAAACGUCGUUGUUAGUUUAGAAAAAAAAAAGUUAUACGCGUUCUGAACCCUAAGCAAGGUCACAACCUCGAAGCUGAGUUCUUUCUACUGUGCUGCAUCAACAGUUAUACGACGACAAUGACUGUGACCUAAAAUCACCUCUGAAGAAACCCGAUUCCGCAUCCACCCCCAGUCCCACCGCGUGCGGCGUCAAAGAGGAUUUCUCCGUGCUCACCAACGACGAAGAAGAAGAAGAUGUAAUUGCCGGUAUCCGAAAUGAUUUCACAGAGUUAGUAGCAAGUUCAAGAACGGGAUCUUCAAAAUCUGCGAGGCUCACUGUAACUCCUAACUUCCCAGAUUGUCAUCUUCCUCUUCAGUCAUCUACUUUUCCUCUUUUCUCUCCGAUGAUUGUUGGAACUCAAAGAGCUUCUUUGAUGGAACAGUACGAAAAGGUUGAGAAGAUAGGGUCGCGACCGCGUCACCAACGAGACCAUCGCGUUGAAGAAGAUUCGCCUCGAGCAGGAGGAUGAGGGGGUUCCCAGCACCGCCAUUCACGAGAUUUCUCUCUUGAAAGAAAUGCAGCACAGGAACAUUGUUAGGUUGUAGGAUGUAGUGCACGAUGAGAAGAGUUUGUAUCUGGUACAAUUGGUUUCUGAGGGAAGACAAAGGUAGUUAGAUAAUAAAUUCAAGGACUUUGUUGCAAGGUUGAAAUGGUGUAAUAGUUCUAACUUCUCUAUCCUUGAAUUCUUGCUUCAUUACUCUCUUUUCUAAUGUGAUAUGUGGCAUUAGAAUCAUUUUCAAUAUUUGGCUGAAUACCUAGAACACUAUGCAAUUUGUUAUAACAGUGAGGCUGGAGAACUUUAUUCAAAGAAGCUUGCCAAGUUUGUUGGAAAGCGUCUCAAAUCAGAAUGGGCUGCUUCUAUAUGGACUAGUACACUGCAACGAACAAUUCUGACAGCCACUCCAAUUAUUGGAUUUCCCAAGAUACAAUGGCGUGCACUUGAUGAGAUAAACGCAGGGGUGUGUGAUGGUAUGGCAUAUGCAGAAAUCAAGAAAAACAUGCCAGAGGAGUAUGAGUAGGUUUGCAGACUUGUAAUUUUUCUCUUAUUUGCAAGUUGCAUGCAACUAAUAUGGCAGAUAAAAAGAAGCACAAUGUGAAACUUCUCUCUUAUUAAUUUUUAUGAUACAUAGAUUAAAAUAUAAUAUGUCUUAGACAAAUAUUAACUAAGACCUUGUAACUCUAGAUUAUAUGACCAGGAACCAUAUAAUAUUUCUUUGGAUUUAUUCCUUAAACUUUUUUAAAAAUUGUUUUUAGUUCGUGAAUUUUUUUUAUUUAUUUUUAGUUCUUUAAUUAUAUUUUGUCUUGGCUUUUUUGUUUUUCUUGCAAAUUUAAGCAUGUCCAGCUUUCAUUUAUACAUUUGAUGUCUUUUUAUUUUCUUAUUUGUUGAGUUACUAUUCAAUCACAAAGUUGCCAAUUGCAAUACCAGGUAUAUAGGAACGGAAAUCCUUAUGGAAUAGCUGAAGGUAUUGUUUUCAGUAUGCCAUGCCGAUCAAAGGUAAGUUUGUUUACUGUGUUCUUCAUUCUUUUUAAUUUCUAAAAUUGCUUUUAUCCCUCCUGUGAUGAAAGUUUUUAUCCAUUUGGGUGAUGGUGAUUAUGAACUUGUCAAGGAUGAUUAUGA